Non-coding RNA from Oryza sativa Japonica Group (Japanese rice), 3223 nucleotides. NCBI's taxonomy places the organism in Eukaryota, Viridiplantae, Streptophyta, Magnoliopsida, Poales, Poaceae. The record is from RefSeq and is a predicted model, not a curated record.
AUUAUAGGUCGAACUGUCGAAGCGACGAAACGUCAGUCCUGAUGAGUCUCUCUCUACUCUCUCUCCUGCCGCCUCGCCAAAACGGAAACGAGAGGGCUGAGGGCUCCAUGGAGAUCGCGGUUUCGAUGUCGGCGAGGCGCCGUGAACUCGCAGCCGGCGGUGGCAGGCCAGCCGUUGGGCGUGAAGGAACAGUAGCGGGCUAAUAUCCGGCCACAAGACGGCGACCGCCGCCGGGGGAGUGCCGCUUGGUGGCGGUGCGCGCCACCCGUUCGGCGGAAUGCCCAGCGGGACUUCGCCACGGACGGGCGGCUCGCCGCACGCCGCUUCAGUCGAUCGCGAGCACGAUCCACACCUCGAGGAUUUGUAAGUGACCCAAUCUGUACGGGAUUCCAACUAAUUCAGAAUUCAAGUCCGACGGGGGCGGAGUGCACGGGGACCUCACCAUCACUGCAGCGAGGAUCCCUCUUGUUGCGUCUGCUAUCGAUUCUUCGAUUUAUGAGGUGUUAUGUGCGCAAGUACAUGCAACUAUGGACAAAAUUGGAACCGAGCUACGAUUACACAUGAGACGGACGACAACCACUCUUGCACUGCAUAAGGAGGUUGAAGUUGAUGGACCGUGGACCGCUGUUGAUAUUGUUAGCAACAUCAGGCAUGUCGACCACACAUCUGUUGGUCAUGCUGCUGCUGCUGUUGCACUUCUGUGGUUGGCCAAACUCUAUGUUUGCAGUCAUUCUAUCCAUGUUUGGGAGUGUGAAGGAUGAUGCAUUGAAAACCAUGGAUGCAAUGUCAAUCCCAGCUGUAAUAUCAAGUGGGAUUGCUGAGAGGAUACCCAUGGUCUGAUGCUCUGCAACCGGUGAGGGUAGAGGUACAGAUGCAUCUGGCCUGCUGUUGCUGUCAAUCAUGCUGAGUGGGUUGUGGCAUGAAGGAACUGUUGAAGGCAAGUAGCUACUUCCGGUGAACUGGAUGGUGGAGGAGAUGGCAUCGGUCAUUACUGAUGAUGUGUUAUCUGAGGUAUGCUGACUUCUCUGUGUGGUCUGCGAGACAGGGGCAGUGUAGGCUUCAUUUGUGCUGGACAAGGGAGGAGAUACCCAUGAGUGUGAGAGCGCUCUUUGUGCCGUGGAAUUGGUUUUCUUGAAAAUCCUGCAGAUUGCCCAGGAAUCCUGCUCAUGAUAAGAAAAAAGAAGAAUAAGAUUAGGGCAGUGUUUUCAGCAUGCCAGUUGCUUACAUUUGGUGGAAUGAUCUUCUCGAGUGGCUUCUUCUGUGGCAAUGAAGGGUCAGUGAGCGAUGGCAGCCGGAACUCGUGCAUCAUCCAGUCAGUUUUGACGCCUUUAGCUGCUCUGCCCUUGUAGAAGACAAGGGACUUCUUCAAGCCUAUGCACUUUGAUCCAUCGGAGGAGUAGAUUGGCCUAUCGGUUCCAGUGGCCUUCCAGAAACCUGCUCCAGUCACCCUGUUUGGCCUUGUGCUGUUCCGAGAACGGAAAAAAGAAUGAAAAUGGAAGUAACAAAUCUUACUUGGGAGAUCCCAUGGAUCAUACUUGUAGAUGUCCAGCUGCCUGAUGAGCUCAAUGGGAAGAGACUUCUGCUGGAUUUUCCUUCUAAGGUAGAAUCUGACGAGCUCUUCAUCCGUUGGAUGAAACCUGAAGCCAGGGUUUUUAUUUGGCUUGUCGUUCGCACCUUUGCCUGCACUCAGGUACAGUUCUUAUAGCAGAAUUUUAAAACCCUCACCUGUUGUUGAACUCAUGCAGGGUCUCUUUGGUCUUUACUCCAUGACGAGGAUCUCGAUGAGCUGUACAACUUCAGCAGUAAUUUUGGGAUUAGCAAUCUCUCUUAUUACACUAAGUUAACUGAACUGUACUUAUGCAUCAUUGCUUAUAUAGCUUAGCAUCUAAUCUAAUAGAGUUCUCACAUAUGCCUCAUUUCUUAUAAUUAGACCUUUGAGAGAAUAAUCUGACUCCUUAGAUAUUUGGAUAAUUAUUUUUUUGUAGUUGUUUCCUUGGGUUGUCCAUAGUGAACUAUGUGGAACAAUUCCCAAGACAUCAGAGACUUCCAAAUUCCAAGGACAAUGUUUUGUGCCCAUCUGUUCGUCGCUAUUCUGAGGGUCCUUAUUUUGUCAGCCCACCUGGUGUGUUCUUAGGCGCAUCCCUUUCUUGGCUAUUAACCAUUUAACCUGCUCAGUCAGUUCUAGCUUCAAGGAACGUUGUCUGCCCUUUGUAGCAUGGUGUCCUGGAAUGGUCGUUCGAGCUGGUGACUGACCUGGUGAGCCAGGCGUAUCUGCCUCUCUCCUCGACAGCUCAAAAAUUUCAGGCUUAAUGGGCUGUCACCACCCAUCUGGGCCGCAAAGAGAAUCAAGUCUUCACCGCAUAUCGUUCUGAUUGUUGCAUUCACCGCUUCACGGGAGUUCAAUCAAGUCUUUCGUGAAUAAUAAUCUAAGAAUAUGCUUCUUUCUGUCCAGCAGCGGCCUGAAAUUCGGUGACGACGGCGACCGACGGACAUAUGUUCAAGCCGACCGUGCAUGGCCGGCGGGUCCCGGCGCCGGACGCACGCAAAGUCGAGCAAUUAACGGCCACAGCUUCAUCUUACACUGAUGGCCGGGAGGCCAUCCACGACGACAUGCGGCAGCAACAGCAGACCUGACGAUCAAGCAGCCAUUGGGCGACUGUUUUGAUAUGCUCCGGGGACCACUGCACCCAUGGCGAUGCAUCGGUCGAAUAACAGCGACUCCUCCGGGUGAUUUUCAGCUCCCAAUGCAAGCUCGAUCGUCCUGCGCUGUGAGGCCAUGCAUGAUAGCGAAAAUGGCUGUGGAGCAAUAGGCGGCAUGCUAGGCUUUACUGGCAUGAUUGUAGUACUGUAUUCUCAUCUAUCCCAAGUUGGUUCCGCGCGAAGAAUGUCGUCGCCGCCCUUAAUUGUGUGGAAGUGUGGUCAUCGUUGUCUCUUAUUCCAUAUAUGUUCAUGGGUGGCACUAGCUAGUAGUGAUAACAGUAGCCAGUGUUGAACGAUCACUGUAUGGUACAUUGGUACAGAUAGCUUGGUCUGUCAGCUAGGUGUUUUAAUUGGUGCUUGGCGGUGGUGGAGAGGAAAAAAAAAUCUUAUGAGACCAGGUCCUAUUUAGACUCUCAGGAUAUGUUUGUUCGAAAAAAAUAUGUAGUAUAAAUCACAUAUGUAAUCCAGUGAUCGAUCUACCUCCAAUAUGUUUAUUCGUGAAAUAAAGUUUUCUAUUUCUUUC